AACGAACGCUGGCGGCAGGCUUAACACAUGCAAGUCGAACGGUCUCUUCGGAGGCAGUGGCAGACGGGUGAGUAACGCGUGGGAAUCUACCUAGUUCUACGGAACAACAGAGGGAAACUUCUGCUAAUACCGUAUACGCCCCACGGGGGAAAGAUUUAUCGGAAUUAGAUGAGCCCGCGUAAGAUUAGCUAGUUGGUGGG
This 200-nucleotide ribosomal RNA is filed under the name uncultured bacterium. RNAcentral's name for it is "partial 16S ribosomal RNA". It matches the Rfam family "Bacterial small subunit ribosomal RNA", at positions 29 to 256 of the family's 1533-position model. The record is from RNAcentral.